GGCAAUCAUUGUCGAAGCCUUUACGUGGCGAUUGCUAUAAGUAGCUCCUUUUGUUCCUUGGAGCGAAACUAAUUCGGC
Molecule: non-coding RNA, 78 nt
Filed under: unclassified sequences
Source: RNAcentral